Molecule: ribosomal RNA, 435 nt
Filed under: uncultured bacterium
Lineage: Bacteria
Description: bacterial SSU rRNA
Rfam family: Bacterial small subunit ribosomal RNA
Source: RNAcentral
UCGAACGAGACCUUCGGGUCUAGUGGCGCACGGGUGCGUAACGCGUGGGAAUCUGCCCAAAGGUUCGGAAUAACUCAGGGAAACUUGAGCUAAUACCGGAUAAUGUCUUCGGACCAAAGAUUUAUCGCCUUUGGAUGAGCCCGCGUCGGAUUAGCUAGUUGGUGAGGUAAAAGCUCACCAAGGCAACGAUCCGUAGCUGGUCUGAGAGGAUGAUCAGCCACACUGGGACUGAGACACGGCCCAGACUCCUACGGGAGGCAGCAGUGGGGAAUAUUGGACAAUGGGCGAAAGCCUGAUCCAGCAAUGCCGCGUGAGUGAUGAAGGCCUUAGGGUUGUAAAGCUCUUUUACCCGGGAUGAUAAUGACAGUACCGGGAGAAUAAGCUCCGGCUAACUCCGUGCCAGCAGCCGCGGUAAUACGGAGGGAGCUAGCGUUG